AAUGUAGGAUAAUCCCGCAGUCAAGAGAGUAAAUGCGAAAUAUAUAUACGUAGGGAUAGAUAAUUCGCUGACAGCUGUAUCAAAAAUCCCGAGGGAUUUUAUCGGAAAUAACGUAUUUCACACCUUUAUAUUCUCAAUCUUAAAUUUUAUUUUUUUAUUAUUUGUCGGCUGCAAUCCAGUGAAAAGUAUUGAAAAGAUCCCGAGAAAAUAAAGGAGAGAAAAAAUAAAAAAGUGACAACAAAUAGUGUCCGAGAAAAAAUAAAAAACAUGCGCAAGACAAGAUAAAGUGCAUCAAGUUAUAUAUUUCUUGUGUCGUGGAUAAAUUUCGGAUAGACAAGUAGUCUAGUCAAGCUUCGGUCAAACGGAUUAUCCUCGCAAAAGUCCUUGUCGCUUCUUAAUUGUCUUUAGUAAAAAUAAACUUCUCAUUUCAAAAAAAAAUAUCAAAAAUUGAUGUAAAAAAUUUUUCCAAUCAUCACAUGAGGUCUAACUAUCGGUCCAAUAAAAAUUUAAUUACAAAGUAAUACGUUUGUGAAUUAUAAAAUAUUUAAGUUAAUUAAUUUAAAAAAUAAUCCAUGAUAAAUGAGGGAGUUUAUACAUACGUGCGGGAAUACCCUCGAGGGUGGAGCAAAGUUUAAUCGAAUUCAUUGAGGCCUGAAAACCGGGUAACUAUACUUAACCAACUGUUAGUAGCUUCAGAAUUGACAUAUAGCAAACAAGAAGUUGCCCGACGGGCUUUCAGAACCUGAAGCAGGUCAAUCGCGUAUUCGCUGAUAAAAAGCGGGGCAAAAAAAUUUUUCCCUUUUUAUCGCAUUUUUAGUUAUCCAACUAAAGCUUUUUAAGUUAUUUAAUUUUGUUAAUUACUUUUUUUUCCGUGGGUAGAGAUAAAAGCCAGAAUGGAGUGGUAAAAAUUUUUCAACUGAAAACACUUGCAAAGGAUGUUUCAAAAUGAUAAAUAAAAGAUGUAAAAGCUUGGCAAUUAUCUCACCGAUAUUUUAAAUAAACAGUAAAUGAUAUAAAGACCCGCAGUUAAAAACGAUGUUUAGAGCAUUAUUCAACAUGUUGAUGAGUUACGUUCAACAGUAUCUCACCCGGAAGAUGUUUCUCUCUUACUUACAACGGCGUUUAAAUUGCCGGCAAUAACUUCCUCAACUUGUGCGAUUUUAUCAUUCUGUCGACCUUGAAAAUAUUACUGUCUACAAUAGCUGUCAUUUAAUUUUCCUCUACUUUUUGGAAGACAGAGUUUUUUUCUACUAGAAGGCUUCAUAAUAAAUAACAAAGUGUUGCUAUUGCGUGGAGUUAUCCCCGGCAGAAAAAAAGUUACAUGCCACGUUCCAUAGAAAUGCAUAACCGUCAUCCUCCCUGAUCCUCGAUGAAUCCUCUCUGGCCUGACACGACGUCAUAGGUCAAAAAUAAACUUUUUCGUGGGACUUUUUGCUGUUUCUCUUUCUAGAGGACAUCAUAGAGAACAAAAAACGUUUGAAUUGUGUAGAGUUAUUUUAACACAAUGUACUAUUUGCUCGGUUUUCUUUCUUUCCGUAGUAAUCUUUUCAGAUACGCAGGAUGAGAAUCGAUCAAUAAAUUUGAGAAGCAAAGGCAGUACUGCUUCUGUUUUUUUGUUUUCUUAAUGAAGUUUAUUUGCGAUUGGGAAAAUACAAAUUUUAAUAUAUUACAGCCCGAGUCGAAAUAUUCGACGUAAAUUCAACGUUUUAAACGUGAAUUGACCGUUUUCAACGUUUUGAACUUAAAUUGAACAUUUUGGACAGUGACCGGCCUAUGAGAAAGAAAAGAGAUCGGGAAAAGAAAGCACCAAGCUUUAUCGCAAAGUUCUCCAGACUAAUUACCAAAAAGAUAAGUAGUAUCCUCAAGGUCUUUCUCCAAAACGCAAUCUAUG
Microplitis mediator is the source of this 1891-nucleotide long non-coding RNA. RefSeq lists it as uncharacterized. The transcript has 3 exons. The record is from RefSeq and is a predicted model, not a curated record. Lineage: Eukaryota; Metazoa; Arthropoda; Insecta; Hymenoptera; Braconidae.